GCAGAGCAGUCAGUCAGAGGAUGAGAGCCAGCUUGUCCUGAAACAGCCUUCAGCUUCAGCUGUACACAUAGAGUCACAUGUGGAUGGUAAAGAUGAAAGACCCUCAACAUCACAUACACAUCAGGGUGUGUCCAGUGCUGACAAUCCAGAGGUUCCUGCAGGCCAUGCACAGGGGGAUAGUGGUGUGGCAGUCCCAUUUGGCGGGCACGGACCUAUUGGUAUGUCUUAACAAUUAAUUUUUCAUAUGAAGUAUAAUAUGCUUAAUAUUUUAGGCACAUUUUAUUAUCAUUCUAAUGACAACCUAUGUGUUAUUGCAGAGUCAAAUGAAGAUUCCUGUGUUGAAUGAUGUCUUAUUUAUUUUAAUUUUGUUGGCACUUUAUAAAGUGACUGUUUUAGAAUAAGGAUUUUCUUUUGUAUGUAACCUACUUUGGGAAUUUACAAAUUAUUUUGGCAUUAUUUAACAGUUCACUUUACAAUGUUAAAACAAGAUUUGCUGGUAUGUGAGGAGGGAUGUGACUUUUGUUUAUACCUGGGAGUUCAGGUUUCUCUGUUGCUGAGAAUACUACAGUAACUUACUACACUGUGGCACAUGUGACAAGUUUUGUCAAGUAAAUGUUUUGCCCAAACAGGCUUAUUUAUUGUAAUUUUGUUGGCACUUUAUACAGUGCACUUUAUACAGAAAGUGCAUUGUCUUUUUUGUAUGUACUGUAUAUCAUACCUUGGAAGGUUGUUUUGAGGUUAGAAUAAAGUAUGGCAGUUUUCAAUCACAUUU
Sebastes umbrosus (honeycomb rockfish) is the source of this 772-nucleotide long non-coding RNA. RefSeq lists it as uncharacterized. Lineage: Eukaryota; Metazoa; Chordata; Actinopteri; Perciformes; Sebastidae. The transcript has 3 exons. The record is from RefSeq and is a predicted model, not a curated record.